GACCGCUCCGGUAGCCUAGUGGUUAGAGCGUAAGCCUCGGAUGCGUUAGGGCGCGGUUUUCGAACCCCGGCCAAGUCA
This is a non-coding RNA of Potamilus streckersoni, 78 nucleotides long. NCBI's taxonomy places the organism in Eukaryota, Metazoa, Mollusca, Bivalvia, Unionida, Unionidae. The record is from the annotation of a GenBank genome assembly.